AAAGAUAUUAAUGUUCCAGUAGUAAUCGACUGCCCCCAACAUGGUCGUUUAGAAAUUCAGUGUUUGGGAAACAACGGAAACUCAUAACGGCAAAUAUUAACCUGGGGAGAUAACCGCAAUGACCACCAUCCGCUGGCACGCUAAGAUUCGUUGAUGGUAUGCUCUUCAGGUAACAAUUUCCAUCGUGCCAACUAAAGGCAUUACAUCGAUUGUUGACGAUACAAAGAUUACCGCAUUGACUUUCCAAACUUGGUUGAUUCCCAAUGUCAUGUCCGGGAAAAUCGCAAUUUGGGAUCAAUCUGAUAACGUUUUCACCGAGAUUAACAUAAGUUUCUCCGCCAAAAUUUGCUGUUCCACCUCCAAUGUUUCCACUGCCUUGGCCGUUUGAAACUCCGCCGCCAUAUGAGGCUCCACCGAGCUGACUGAAUCCUCCAUUAUUGAUGAUUAUAUCCAAACCAGACGAUAAUUCACUGUUUGAUUCUGUUAUUGGCAUAGGUUUAACUGGUUCAUCUUUCCUGUAGCCGAUUUUUCCUCCAUGGCAACUAGAGAUUGCCGACAACGUAACGAGUAAAAAAGCAGGUUCGUGGUCUGAUUUGAACAUUUAAUAGUUGUGAAAUCAAAACAGGAAAUUUAAACCAAAGGAUCGACUCACCAAAACUGCUUCGUGGACCAGCUUACAGUGCAAUACGUUGGAGUAGUGAAAACUGUGACAAAUAAAUAGAGGUCCUGCUUUAAAACAGAAAGAUGCAAGAUCAUUGACCGAAUGUUGGCUUGGACAGCGAUAAGGAGGUCAUUGCAAUUAAGGAAAUUUUACAAUAUAACAGAAUGAUUGAUCACAAUCGCCAGGGAAUGAUGCCACAAACGCCACCAUUGAUCGGUAAUCGUGAAGUCAUUGAUGGUGCAUUUUUCAAGUAACAGUAUUCUUCAUUAUCUGGCCGACGGAAGUGAGUACAUUGUGAAUUGGCAACACAAAUACCUCCGCACUCUUCCGCAGUGGCUACUUGGCGUCCUAUAUCGUGGCCGGGGAAAUCGCAAUUGCGGAGCCAUUUGACACCACCCCCGCCAUCGUUCCAAUUUUUAUUCGCUGAUAACACAAACGCAUCAAAUCGCCAUGGAAUGAAACCGCACAUACUUCCGUCCUUAGUUGUACGUGAAAUAGUCAAUGGUGCCCGUUUCAUGUGGCAAUAUCCAUCAUUGCUGUGUCUGAAGUGAGUGCAUUGUAUAUUAGCAAUGCAGAUUCCUCCGCAUUCUUCUCCAGAACUUUCUAAACGGCCAAUGUCAUGGCCAGGGAAAUCACAGUUCAUGAGCCAUUUAACGUCGCCCCCACCAUCGUUAAAUUCUUCCCCGAAAUUUGGGGGGAUUCCACCAACAACAACGUUUCCACCUCCGCUAUUACCAUCACCUGGACCACUUGAAACACCUGAAGCAAUGGACGUCCCCCCAAUUUGGCUGAAUCCUCCAUUGUUGAUAACUACAUUGAAGCCGGGAGAGAGAAAUCGAAGACCAUACAACAACCAAAAGACGAAUGCACGUCAGCAUGAUGUUACGUUCUUGGUAUGUGGGCCAAACUUAAAACAAUUAAGAAAACUAGGAUGUUGCUACACAAAUUGCAGUUGAAUAAUUCUCCUGCAAUGAUGGAAAAUAACGCAAAGAGGAUUCCAAGAAAACAAUUCUUGGUAACCUACAGCUCGUUUUAAAAUGAACUGAGAAGUUCAGACGGGCGAUGGCCUCUUUUAAGUGACAAGCUCGCAUGAGCAAACAAGGUCGAUGGCACUUUGAACUGUCAAUAUUGACCAUCAACUCAUCACGUGGUGGAUUCGUUCUCGCAGGAUGCCACACAAGCAUUUUACUA
Daphnia carinata is the source of this 1852-nucleotide long non-coding RNA. RefSeq lists it as uncharacterized. Lineage: Eukaryota; Metazoa; Arthropoda; Branchiopoda; Diplostraca; Daphniidae. The transcript has 8 exons. The record is from RefSeq and is a predicted model, not a curated record.